AGAGUUUGAUCAUGGCUCAGGACGAACGCUGGCGGCGUGCUUAACACAUGCAAGUGGAGCGACGAACCGGGCUUCGGCCCGGGGCAAAGCCGCGAACGGGUGAGUAACACGUGGGUAACCUGCCCCGAUGACCGGGACAACCCGGGGAAACCCGGGCUAAUACCGGAUGUGCUCCGCUCGCCCCAGGCGAGCGGUGGAAAGGGAGCUUCGGCCUCCGCAUCGGGAUGGGCCCGCGGCCCAUUAGCUUGUUGGUGAGGUAACGGCUCACCAAGGCAACGAUGGGUAGCUGGUCUGAGAGGACGAUCAGCCACACUGGGACUGAGACACGGCCCAGACUCCUACGGGAGGCAGCAGUGGGGAAUCUUGCGCAAUGCGCGAAAGCGUGACGCAGCAACGCCGCGUGGGGGAAGAAGGCCUUCGGGUUGUAAACCCCUUUCAGGAGGGACGAAGCCCGGGCGGUGAACAGCCGACUCGGGUGACGGUACCUCCAGAAGAAGCCCCGGCUAACUACGUGCCAGCAGCCGCGGUAAUACGUAGGGGGCAAGCGUUGUCCGGAAUCAUUGGGCGUAAAGCGCGUGUAGGCGGUCCGGUAAGUCGGCUGUGAAAGUCCAGGGCUCAACCCUGGGAUGCCGGUCGAUACUGCCGGACUAGAGUCCGGAAGAGGCGAGUGGAAUUCCCGGUGUAGCGGUGAAAUGCGCAGAUAUCGGGAGGAACACCAAUGGCGAAGGCAGCUCGCUGGGACGGUACUGACGCUGAGACGCGAAAGCGUGGGGAGCAAACAGGAUUAGAUACCCCCGUAGUCC
RNAcentral lists this ribosomal RNA (803 nucleotides) under uncultured Solirubrobacterales bacterium. Its description in RNAcentral is "bacterial SSU rRNA". It matches the Rfam family "Bacterial small subunit ribosomal RNA", at positions 8 to 796 of the family's 1533-position model. Lineage: Bacteria; Bacillati; Actinomycetota; Thermoleophilia; Solirubrobacterales. The record is from RNAcentral.